AACGAACGCUGGCGGCAGGCUUAACACAUGCAAGUCGAACGCCCCGCAAGGGAGUGGCAGACGGGUGAGUAACGCGUGGGUAUGUGCCCAAAGGUUCGGAACAACUCCGGGAAACUGGAGCUAAUACCGAAUGUGACCGAGAGGUGAAAGAUUUAUCGCCUUUGGAUCAGCCCGCGUUGGAUUAGCUAGUUGGUGGGGUAAAGGCCUACCAAGGCGACGAUCCAUAGCUGGUCUGAGAGGACGACCAGCCACACUGGGACUGAGACACGGCCCAGACUCCUACGGGAGGCAGCAGUGGGGAAUCUUGGACAAUGGGCGAAAGCCUGAUCCAGCCAUGCCGCGUGGAUGAUGAAGGCCUUAGGGUUGUAAAAUCCUUUCGUCGGGACGAUAAUGACGUACCCGAAGAAGAAGCUCCGGCUAACUUCGUGCCAGCAGCCGCAGU
This 442-nucleotide ribosomal RNA is filed under the name uncultured bacterium. Its description in RNAcentral is "bacterial SSU rRNA". It matches the Rfam family "Bacterial small subunit ribosomal RNA", at positions 29 to 521 of the family's 1533-position model. The record is from RNAcentral.